RNAcentral lists this long non-coding RNA (505 nucleotides) under Capsella rubella. RNAcentral's name for it is "long non-coding RNA (CRUB_LNC001222)". Lineage: Eukaryota; Viridiplantae; Streptophyta; Magnoliopsida; Brassicales; Brassicaceae. The record is from RNAcentral.
GUCAACUUACUAAACCAAAUCUUUGUUUCCCAGAAGAAAGCUAUUUACUAGAAGCAACCAUGGGACUUCAUCAAAAAGGGGACCAAUUGGGUAAGAAAAAGAUGGCUAAAAUAGUCGGCUGAUUCAUAUUUUGAUAUAUCAUUCAUACCACACUAUCUUUGAAGAUAAUUAUGGUUUAUUUGCAGAUAUCUGUAUGCAAUACCAAGAAAGAGUUGCACCACUUUGAUUCAUAUAGACAUUGUAAGUAUACAUAACACCUGGGGUUUUAUACCUUUACAUCUAACUUCUCUAAUGGACUAGGAGAAACAGAGAUGUACAAGUAUAUGAACACAAUCUCACUGCUGCUGGGUCAACAACGAUCCUUCAUUGAUGUUGUUCUUUUGCCUCUGAUGAAAUUUUACCAUUCACUACAGGUUUCAACGAUUUCUUGAGCUUAACCAAUCCUUCAUUUCCAUUUACACCUUGAACAAACAAGGCACACUUGGUUCUUCCACCUACUGUCAUG